CUCCAGAUGUUGUUGGACUACAACUUCUUUCGGUUAAUGGGAAUUGUAGUUCAACAACAUCUGGGG
Non-coding RNA from Podarcis lilfordi (Lilford's wall lizard), 66 nucleotides. The record is from the annotation of a GenBank genome assembly. NCBI's taxonomy places the organism in Eukaryota, Metazoa, Chordata, Lepidosauria, Squamata, Lacertidae.